CAGUAGCCGCGGGAAUACGAAGGGGGCUAGCGUUGUUCGGAUUUACUGGGCGUAAAGCGCACGUAGGCGGACGCUUAAGUCAGGGGUGAAAUCCCGAGGCUCAACCUCGGAACUGCCUUUGAUACUGGGUGUCUUGAGUCCGGGAGAGGUGAGUGGAACUGCGAGUGUAGAGGUGAAAUUCGUAGAUAUUCGCAAGAACACCAGUGGCGAAGGCGGCUCACUGGUCCGGAACUGACGCUGAGGCACGACAGCGUGGGGAGCAAACAGGAUUAGAUACCCCCGUAGUCCCUGUCUCUUAUAC
This 301-nucleotide ribosomal RNA is filed under the name uncultured bacterium. Its description in RNAcentral is "partial 16S ribosomal RNA". It matches the Rfam family "Bacterial small subunit ribosomal RNA", at positions 509 to 807 of the family's 1533-position model. The record is from RNAcentral.